AAUGAACGCUGGCGGCGUGCCUAACACAUGCAAGUCGCACGAGAAAGGGGCCGCAAGGUCCUCAGUAAAGUGGCGAACGGGUGAGUAACGCGUAGGUAACCUGCUCCCGAGUGGGGAAUAACCUGGCGAAAGCCGGGCUAAUACCGCAUAACGUCCUUGGGUCUCCGGAUCUGGGGAACAAAGGUGGCGAGCUUCGAGCGCUGCCGCUUGGGAAGGGGCCUGCGUCCCAUUAGCUAGUUGGUGGGGUAAUGGCCUACCAAGGCUUCGAUGGGUAGCCGGGCUGAGAGGCUGUCCGGCCACACUGGAACUGAGACACGGUCCAGACUCCUACGGGUGGCAG
RNAcentral lists this ribosomal RNA (340 nucleotides) under uncultured Acidobacteriota bacterium. RNAcentral's name for it is "bacterial SSU rRNA". It matches the Rfam family "Bacterial small subunit ribosomal RNA", at positions 29 to 351 of the family's 1533-position model. The record is from RNAcentral. Lineage: Bacteria; Pseudomonadati; Acidobacteriota.